GCAGGGCGGGAAGAGCGCGGGCGGGGGGCGGGGCCUGUCGCCGUGGCGACGGCUGGCGCCAAUGGGCGGUGCCGCGCGGCCGGGGGAGAGGGGCGCUGCGGCCGCCAUUACACGCGGCGGCCGCGUUGUGGCACCGGGCCCGGGGGUCGGGGAGGGUCGGGCCCCGCGGCCGCGACUCACGGGGCUUCGGCUCCCCGCCGUGGGAGCGGCCGCGGCGCCCCGGGGACGUGCCCCGAGGGGGAGGGCGGCUCUUGGCGGAGCUGCGGGCCCAGCGCGGGGGGCUUCGCGGCGGCCAUGAGAGGGCUGUGGCCGUGGGCGGGUGGGGGAGGCCGCGGGGCUGAACGAGCGGGAGCUGUUCUAGGCCCGCAUUCAAACCACCGUCUUGGGUAGAGCUGUGAGGAAGCAUUGCUUAUGUUGGCGUGGCAAAAACCCAGCCCUUGCAUAAAGGCUGCCAGGUAGAAGCUUCCACUGCUGCUAUCAAACAUCCGAUCACUGUUUAGACUCAGGUCCGCUGAAUAUGCGCAGAGGAGGUGCCCACGGCUCUUCUGGAGCAGGCCCGCUAAUGACUGAACGGGGCGAGUGGCUCCUUCGCUGCAGCGUGAGGCUCGUUGCUGUUUCUCAUCGUGGCAACCUUAACGUGAGCAAAGAGAAGCAGUGUUGGUGCUCCCUGCAAUACUGGGGCCCUGGUUUGCAAUCAUCACCUAACUAAAUGCUUGUGCACUACCAAAGAUACUGGUGGUAAUCCCUGAGAUAGUGCGGAGCCUUCCAGUGCGCUUCCUUGCUUCUUACUGCCACUGGAAUACAGUACCGCAGUAACGUGCAAAGACUUGGUACGUUCUCGCUCUCUGGAUCAAAGGUUUUGGGAGCCAAAGUGUGUCUUUGAUUUCUACAAAAUGCUGAAACUGCUCAAGUGCGGUGGUGAGCUGCGUUAAUGGUUAAUAGGAAAUGUGUGAUGAAGGUAGCUUAAUUUAUUAGGGAAAUGGGCUAUUGAAAAAGACCCAGAUGAAAAAAAAACGCAGUCUGGAUGUGCUGAUUUGCUGUCACAUUGCUGAUCCUCUGGUAAUAUGAGCUUGUAUAACAAGGCAAACAUGAAAAAAGGUAGACAAAAUUAUGGAAAAUUGUAACAUCUUAAGUUCUGUGUAGCAAUUUACCACUGUAAGGUCAACAUGGUUUUGAUACAGGUUUUAGCAACAGCUAGCUUGCAUGCGUAGCUCUGCUGUUUUCCUGGCCAUUUCUAUUCACUCUUUCAUCUCAUCCAAGUAUGUAUAAAACAAACUUCUCAGACUACUAAUCCCAAGAAAAAUUUUUUUCUGGGUGACUGAAAUGACAUUUUAAAAUAUUUUCACUAUUUAGAAGCUUCCUUUCCAGAGAAGUGUUCAGAUGCCUGGAAUAUAUUUAAACUUACUAAAAUUCUCAGUUCCACACUGUGGUCUGCAGGCCCCAGCUUUGUUCAUGUUAGUUAUACAAAGGACAUGAGACAAAAUGCAAUGGAAGGGAAGUCACCUAAAAGUCAAAGUGGAAUUUCCCGAAAAAUUAUCUGCCAGCUUUUAGAGUGGUAAGACUAGUAAUAUAGACUGGAGGGUACAUGUGGGAUGGGAGGAGGUAACAAAGUAUAUUGAAAAUUUGCAUCUGUAGCAGAUGAUUAGAUAUCUCUAGCUAUCGCACCUUUACUCCUGAUGGAUUUAUUCCUCAGCGUUGUUCAGAAGAUGUAGCAUGAAGUCCAGUUAAAUUUGUAGGUUGUGGAGGAUGGCAGAAAGGCUAAUGGGUAGUCUUCAUCACUCUGUAGUGUUUACAGAUGGGCUGGGCAAGAAGAGAAAGUGUUAAGGGGAACAACUUAUGCCAUUAUGACAGGCUUAGCUUAAAAAGCCUGCAUAAUCAUUCAAAAGUCAUUUGGUAAGUAACCUUAAGCAAUGCAAUUAGUUUCAGCAGGCUCAGAAUGGAAAAAGCUUUAAUAUAAUGACUUUGUAAAGAAUUUGAUGUGCCAUCUAAAGCAUCUAAAACAUGCUGCAAAGGCUGUUUUUAGACAAGAUUUAAAUGCAGUGAUCACUCCUUGUAACUUGUAAAAUGAAGAUAAAACCACAACUGAUAAUUUUUCUUUUUUUGUUCUCAACUGUCUUUUGUCGAAUAAUUUAUUUCUGUUCUGAAAAUGUGUUACUGAGCAAGAGUCAGAAACUUUUCUUUCAAAGAUAUUUGAUUAUAUUGGGUCAUACAUGUAAAAAAGAAAAUGCUUAAAAAAUAUGACAUGCAGCAGAACUAAGAACAGUUUCCUGUCUCUUGCCCCCUACUUAAAGCAAAUUGCAGUAACAGUUGUUACAGCACCUGUCUCCCUGCCGCAUGUACAACCCCCAAACAAACAAAAACAGCACACUUUGUUACUUUACGAAAUAGCUCUUGGUCCUUCACUCUAAUACCUUUAGUUCUUCACCUAGACACCUAAACCCUCUUGUAUUUUCCCCAGCUGCAUCUCCUAAGCAUCUCCUCCGUUAACCUCUGUUCUGUCCAUGUCCCUUCCCCAUCCUCUGUACAAUAGGCGGCAAGUGGUGUGAAAGCUAUGGCAAUCACUACGGGACUGCCGUAGCCGGGCUGCUUGAGCUUAUACUGCCACAUGCAGAUGGGAGGCUGAUUUCACUCUCUUCCACAAAAGAACUUGGCAUCUCUGCGUUUUAUGUGCCAAGUUUAGUUGAAAUUAGUCAGCAGGUUGAAAAGUUAUUAGAGAAGAUGACAGAUAGACAGCACCAUCUGAGGGACAGUAUUGUUUUAGGAAAGACAGAUUGCCAUUUCCCAUCCUUAAAUUAGAAUAGUCAGGUUGAUGUGUUUCUCUGCCAGAUGAAACUCCUCACAACUAAUGGAAAUAGUGUAUUAAAAAAAUAAAAACAAGCCAAAACACUAAGGUUCUGUUUUUGGAGAUGGAAAACUAUUCAGUUUUCAGUGAGUACAAGCAAUGAAGACUUCUGGUAGUUCUGGUAAAACAUACUUUUUAAUUUUAAUUUCCUUUCCUGGGAAACCUUUCCCUGGAUGUAGCUCUCAUUCAGUGAAUGGAGUAGCUGCUACUCUCUUUGGAAUCUGUUAGGAUCUAACACCUUUGCAGUCCAGUUAUAUUAUGCUAGACUUUGUUGCAGGCUUGCUCAUACAGUUCUGCAAGUGGUCAUACUUGGCUUUUUUUCCUUUUUCUUGUAGCAGUCCUAAAGACAAACUAAUACUGUGUUAAUGUAGUUUUACAGAAGAUUAUCAUCAGAAGAGUUUCUACAGGAAGCUGUAAAAAGGCUAAUUCAGAGAGAUGUCAGCUAGAAGAGACCAGAGGAGACAGCAGACGAAGAUGUAUCCUGGAGACACUGACCUUGGUC
This is a long non-coding RNA of Dromaius novaehollandiae (emu), 3344 nucleotides long. RefSeq lists it as uncharacterized. The transcript is spliced from 3 exons. The record is from RefSeq and is a predicted model, not a curated record. NCBI's taxonomy places the organism in Eukaryota, Metazoa, Chordata, Aves, Casuariiformes, Dromaiidae.